CUCAAAUUUGAAAUCUGGCACCUUCGGUGUCCGAGUUGUAAUUUGAAGAAGGUAACUUUGGAGUUGGCUCUUGUCUAUGUUCCUUGGAACAGGACGUCACAGAGGGUGAGAAUCCCGUGCGAUGAGAUGUCCAACUCUAUGUAAAGUGCUUUCGAAGAGUCGAGUUGUUUGGGAAUGCAGCUCUAAGUGGGUGGUAAAUUCCAUCUAAAGCUAAAUAUUGGCGAGAGACCGAUAGCGAACAAGUACAGUGAUGGAAAGAUGAAAAGAACUUUGAAAAGAGAGUGAAAAAGUACGUGAAAUUGUUGAAAGGGAAGGGUUUGAGAUCAGACUUGGUAUUUUGUAUGUCUUGCUUUCGGGUGGGGCCUCUGCAGUUUACUGGGCCAGCAUCGGUUUGGACGGUAGGAUAAUGACAUUGGAAUGUGGCACUACUUCGGUGGUGUGUUAUAGACUUUGUUGAUACUGCCUGUCUAGACCGAGGACUGCGUCUUUGACUAGGAUGCUGGCAUAAUGAUCCUAAACCGCCC
This 524-nucleotide ribosomal RNA is filed under the name Scheffersomyces shehatae. RNAcentral's name for it is "eukaryotic LSU rRNA". It matches the Rfam family "Eukaryotic large subunit ribosomal RNA", at positions 108 to 650 of the family's 3401-position model. The record is from RNAcentral. Lineage: Eukaryota; Fungi; Ascomycota; Pichiomycetes; Serinales; Debaryomycetaceae.